RNAcentral lists this unclassified non-coding RNA (387 nucleotides) under soil metagenome. RNAcentral describes it as "partial contains 5.8S ribosomal RNA, internal transcribed spacer 2, and large subunit ribosomal RNA". The stretch from base 1 to 120 matches the Rfam family "5.8S ribosomal RNA", at positions 35 to 154 of the family's 154-position model. The record is from RNAcentral.
GAUGAAGAACUUAGCGAAAUGCGAUAAGUAAUGCGAAUUGCAGAAUUCAGUGAAUCAUCGAAUCUUUGAACGCACCUUGCACCCUUUGGCAUUCCGAAGGGUAUGCUCGUUUGAGUGUCAUUGUACUCUCACACUCUCCGAUCCUAUGGAUUCGGGGAGCGGUGGACUUGGGUGUUGCUGCCUUUCCCUGUGGCUCACCUCAAAUGCGUCAGUGCACCUCUUGGUUGGACAUAGUACGGCGUGAUAAGUGUCUUCGCCGGCACCUCGCAAGAGGGUGGCCGAUCGGGAGCUCUGCGCUUUCAAACCGUCUUCGGACAAUUUCUGACAUCUUGACCUCAAAUCGAGUAGGACUACCCGCUGAACUUAAGCAUAUCAAUAAGCGGAGGA